Molecule: ribosomal RNA, 1266 nt
Filed under: Clostridioides difficile P50
Lineage: Bacteria; Bacillati; Bacillota; Clostridia; Peptostreptococcales; Peptostreptococcaceae
Description: bacterial LSU rRNA
Rfam family: Bacterial large subunit ribosomal RNA
Source: RNAcentral
CACCUACCGAAGACUAUCAAACUCCGAAUGCCGUCAUCUUAUACUUGGGAGUCAGACUGUGGGUGAUAAGAUUCAUAGUCGAAAGGGCAACAGCCCAGAUCGUCAGCUAAGGUCCCUAAAUGUAAGUUAAGUGGUAAAGGAUGUGGGAUUGCACAGACAACCAGGAUGUUGGCUUAGAAGCAGCCACUCAUUCAAAGAGUGCGUAAUAGCUCACUGGUCGAGUGAUCCUGCGCCGAAGAUUUCCGGGGCUAAAACUUACUACCGAAGCUACGGCAUCAGUAAUGAUGGGUAGGGGAGCUUCCCAUACGGGUUGAAGCAUGACCGUAAGGACAUGUGGACAGUAUGGGAGUGAGAAUGUUGGCAUGAGUAGCGAGAUGUGGGUGAGAAUCCCACAGGCCGUAAACCCAAGGUUUCCAGGGGAAGGUUCGUCCGCCCUGGGUUAGUCGGGACCUAAGCUGAGGCCGAAAGGCGUAGGUGAUGGACAACAGGUUGAUAUUCCUGUACUACCGAUAACCGUUUGAGAGAAGGGAUGACACAGUAGGAUAAGCUAAGCACACUGUUGGUUAUGUGUGCCCAAGCAUUGAGGCAGUCAAAGUAGGCAAAUCCGCUUUGAUAAUGCUGGGAUGUGAUGGGGAGCGAAAUUUAGUAGCGAAGUAGCUGAUUUCACACUGUCAAGAAAAGUCUCUAUCGAGGUUAAAGGUACCCGUACCGCAAACCGACACAGGUGGGUGAGGAGAGUAUCCUAAGGCUAGCGAGAGAACUGUUGUUAAGGAACUCGGCAAAAUGACCCCGUAACUUAGGGAUAAGGGGUGCCACCAUCAGGUGGCCGCAGAGAAUAGGCCCAAGCGACUGUUUACCAAAAACAUAGGUUUCUGCUAAGUCGCAAGACGAUGUAUAGGAGCUGACGCCUGCCCGGUGCUGGAAGGUUAAGGGGAUCUGUUAGAGCAAUCGAAGCAGUGAACUUAAGCCCCAGUAAACGGCGGCCGUAACUAUAACGGUCCUAAGGUAGCGAAAUUCCUUGUCGGGUAAGUUCCGACCCGCACGAAAGGCGUAACGAUUUGGGCACUGUCUCAACAACAGACUCGGUGAAAUUGUAAUUCCGGUGAAGAUGCCGGAUACCUGCGACAGGACGGAAAGACCCCAUGGAGCUUUACUGUAGCUUGACAUUGGGUCUUGGUACUACAUGUACAGGAUAGGUGGGAGGCUUUGAAACCAGGACGCCAGUUUUUGGCGGAGCCAUCCUUGGGAUACCACCCCUUGUAGUAC